Gossypium raimondii (Peruvian cotton) is the source of this 700-nucleotide long non-coding RNA. RefSeq lists it as uncharacterized. The record is from RefSeq and is a predicted model, not a curated record. The transcript is spliced from 2 exons. Lineage: Eukaryota; Viridiplantae; Streptophyta; Magnoliopsida; Malvales; Malvaceae.
UCUCCCCCAAUUUUUUUGUUUGUGCAAUUCAUUUCUUUUUUUUUUGUUUUUCCCGUCGUUUCUUCUUCUUCUUCUUCCUCCCUCAACUCAAGUUGCUCCUUCUUUUUCUUUUUCUUACCCUAGUCGCCUUGCUUUUAGACCGCUGCUAGGCCACUGUCCGGCCUCCUCCUGUGAGCUCUUCGACCAACUAAGACUCCAGAGGACUUAGUUAACGAUGACCCCAAAGCCCUCUGAUUUGGUAUUUGGAUUUGAUUUCUGGUAAUGGGGGAAUUUGAAUCAUUCAUUGGGUUGAUGUGGUGAGAAUGAUGAAACAUAGUAGAUGGUGGUGGUGAUUUUAGGGUGAAGGUUUCACUUUCACUCUUAGACUUCCUUCAAGCUUCAGUGUGAAUCAUUGAUGAAGCUGCUUUCGGCAAAAACUUCAACAUCUUGUUUUUGGGUUUCAUCUGUUUCUCCAUUAUUGUUUGUAAAAAAAAAUAUCAUUUUUUUUCCAACUUUCUUUCUAAUAUUUUGUUUCAUUAGCCCGAUUAUAGGUUCCUUUCCAUUGUUUUUCCAAAAAUGUUACUUUUCUACUAGUAAUUAAUUUUCCAGUAAACACAGAGGUAAGAAAGUUUUUCUCAGUUUUAUGUAUUAUUUUAAAUAAUUAUCCAAAUUUCAAUUUCAAUUGGGUUUUGUUUUCCAUGACAUACCUGUUUAAAUAAAA